UGGGGAAUCUUCCGCAAUGGACGAAAGUCUGACGGAGCAACGCCGCGUGAGUGAAGAAGGUUUUUCGGAUCGNAAAAACUCUGUCUUUUGGGGCGAACGUGAGUAUGUGAACAAUCAUAGUCAGUGACGGUACCAAAGGAGGAAGCCACGGCUAACUACGUGCCAGCAGCCGCGGUAAAUCGUAGGUGGCAAGCGUUGUCCGGAAUUAUUGGGCGUAAAGAGCGCGUAGGCGGGAUAGUCAGUCUGUUGUAAAAGUGCGGGGCUCAACCCCGUGAUCGCAAUGGAACAGCUAUUCUUGAGUGCAGGAGAGGAAAGUGGAAUUCCCAGUGUAGCGGUGAAAUGCGUAGAUAUUGGGAGGAACACCAGUGGCGAAGGCGACUUUCUGGACUGUGUCUGACGCUGAGGCGCGAAAGCCAGGGGGAGCG
Molecule: ribosomal RNA, 425 nt
Filed under: uncultured bacterium
Lineage: Bacteria
Description: partial 16S ribosomal RNA
Rfam family: Bacterial small subunit ribosomal RNA
Source: RNAcentral